UAUUGUGGGUGAUCUUUACGCUGCAUGCUGUAUGUACUAAUUGUGGUCUUUGCAUGUUUGUGUGCAGAUGUCAUCUGUGCGAAAGGGGGGGGGUGACCUGACCCAAGCACAGGACUUCAUUAAGUGGUUGCCAGGGUCUGUGGACAGCGGUGGUGGCAGGAAGAGGCGUUUCGCAGAAACGUUUGCAGCAGAGCAGCCCGAUGAUCCCUCCCUUCGGGGCAGGAAUCAUUGCCUGCCCACUGCUGCCCUCUCCCUGCCCCACCCUUGCCCUCAGGUCCCUGGCAAGUCCACCGUCGGCCCCUCCUCCCCUGCCGCCCCUGCCCCUCCUCCUGCUGCUGCCCCUGGAGCUGAGCACCCCUACUGAUGCCUGCAUCAGUUCAAGAAUUGUAUUGUAAAUAGUAUUCUAAAUAAAUUAUAUUUUCGUUUAUGCUUUG
This is a long non-coding RNA of Dermacentor silvarum, 434 nucleotides long. RefSeq lists it as uncharacterized. The record is from RefSeq and is a predicted model, not a curated record. Lineage: Eukaryota; Metazoa; Arthropoda; Arachnida; Ixodida; Ixodidae. The transcript is spliced from 2 exons.